RNAcentral lists this ribosomal RNA (406 nucleotides) under uncultured bacterium. RNAcentral describes it as "partial 16S ribosomal RNA". It matches the Rfam family "Bacterial small subunit ribosomal RNA", at positions 30 to 526 of the family's 1533-position model. The record is from RNAcentral.
AUUGAACGCUGGCGGCAGGCCUAACACAUGCAAGUCGAGCGAGCGGCGGACGGGUGAGUCAUAUCUGGGAAACUGCCUGAUGGAGGGGGAUAACUACUGGAAACGGUAGCUAAUACCGCAUACCAUCAGAUGUGCCCAGAUGGGAUUAGCCAGUAGGUGGGGGAACGGCUCACCAAGGCGACGAUACCUAGCUGGUCUUAGAGGAUGACCAGCCAAACUGGAACUGAGACACGGUCCCGACUCCUACGGGAGGCAGUAGUGGGGAAGAUUGCACAAUGGGCGCAAUCCUGAUGCAGCCAUGCCGCGUGUGUGAAGAAGGCCUUCGGGUUGUAAAGCACUUUCAGCGGGGAGGCGUUACCCGCAGAAGAAGCACCGGCUAACUCCGUGCCAGCAGCCGCGGUAAUUC